RNAcentral lists this ribosomal RNA (384 nucleotides) under Escherichia coli. RNAcentral's name for it is "partial 23S ribosomal RNA". It matches the Rfam family "Bacterial large subunit ribosomal RNA", at positions 550 to 935 of the family's 2925-position model. The record is from RNAcentral. Lineage: Bacteria; Pseudomonadati; Pseudomonadota; Gammaproteobacteria; Enterobacterales; Enterobacteriaceae.
CUGAAACCGUGUACGUACAAGCAGUGGGAGCACGCUUAGGCGUGUGACUGCGUACCUUUUGUAUAAUGGGUCAGCGACUUAUAUUCUGUAGCAAGGUUAACCGAAUAGGGGAGCCGAAGGGAAACCGAGUCUUAACUGGGCGUUAAGUUGCAGGGUAUAGACCCGAAACCCGGUGAUCUAGCCAUGGGCAGGUUGAAGGUUGGGUAACACUAACUGGAGGACCGAACCGACUAAUGUUGAAAAAUUAGCGGAUGACUUGUGGCUGGGGGUGAAAGGCCAAUCAAACCGGGAGAUAGCUGGUUCUCCCCGAAAGCUAUUUAGGUAGCGCCUCGUGAAUUCAUCUCCGGGGGUAGAGCACUGUUUCGGCAAGGGGGUCAUCCCGAC